UUCUUGUAAAGUAGCCUUUGACAAGUAUUCCAUUUUUGAAAAUAACAAAAACUAGUGGCACUGUCAAAAAAUGACAUCUAUGUACAUCAAAUUUUGCAAAUGUUUAGGUAUUAAUACCAAAUUCUGCUUUUGUUUUCUGUCUGUAGACCAAAUCUAACAGUUUUGAAAUGUAAAAGGGGGAAAUGAACACUAUUGCAGGUUAACCAGAACUGAAAAUCAUACCAGAAAAAUUUGGAUUUCUCACAUUUUUAAUAAUAAUGAAUGAAAAAGUUGCUCAACUAUUUAUAUGUCAUUGCUGCAACAAGUGUACGUGUUUGUGUCAAUAUUUAAUUUAUUAUGAAGGUUAUCAUUAGAUGGAUAAAGAACACUUAAGAUUUUGAAGUGAUUUUCUGCUCCUGUGGGUUCUGCUCCUGCAGGAGUCUAUGAGGAGGUUCUGCUCCUGAAUUGAAAAAUAAACAAAAAAGUACCGGCACAGGUCCCAGCAGAUCUUAGGAUUCUCUUCAGUCAGUCCAAACCAAUCCAUGAUGUGGUCAGGACAGAAUGGAUUAUAACAGUGUAGAAGAUGGUCAGCAGCUGCUGAGACAGCGGUGAUGUUUUGAUGGAGGAGCUCUGGGAUGAUGGUAUAAUGCAGAGCUGAAGUCCACAAACAGGAUGUCUGCAUAGGUCCCUGCAGAAUCAAGGUGGUGUAGGAUGUAGUGGAGACCUAUGUUGACUGUAUCGUCCACGUCAUUUAGCCAUGUGAGAGGGGACUUCUUAGGAACUGGGAUGAUGGUGGAGCUGUUGAAGAGGCGGUGAAAGUUUGAGCCAGCUGGUCAGCACAAACUUUCAGACAGGAUGGAGACACUCCAUCAGGUCCUGGAACCCUCCUGAUCUUCUGCUUCUGAAACUGUAGACGUACAUUCACAGAUCCUCAGUCCAGGUUAGCGGUUCAGUCUGAAGGAAGUUGAGAUAACAAGUCAUUCCUUUAGAUUGG
Molecule: long non-coding RNA, 973 nt
Organism: Oryzias melastigma (Indian medaka)
Lineage: Eukaryota; Metazoa; Chordata; Actinopteri; Beloniformes; Adrianichthyidae
Exons: 3
Source: RefSeq, a predicted model, not a curated record